GGGGACAGCAGAGCCUGCUGGUCUCCAGAGGACGUGUCUCUCCCUGGCUGGUUCUCCCCUGCUGUAUCGCAGCAAGGGCUGAGCUGACCUGGGAUUGGGGUCUUCUAUGUUGGGGCCUGUGUGGUUGUCAGAGAGCCUUCCAGCCUCUCCCAGGAGGGAAAACCUGGGAGUAAACCCUGGUUGCCCAGCUCCACCCGACUCCCACGCUAAGGGUCAGACACCCAAACAUGGCUUCUCGGCAGGCUCCCGGCACUGCCCCUCGCUAUGGGCUGGCACCAAUGGGGGCACCAUCUAUGCCUUCUCCCUGCGUGUGCCCCCCGCCGAGCGGAGAAUGGAUGAGCCUGUGCGGGCAGAGCAGGCCAAGGAGAUCCAGCUGAUGCACCGGGCGCCGGUGGUGGGCAUCCUGGUGCUCGACGGACACAGCGUACCCCUUCCCGAGCCCCUCGAAGUGGCCCAUGAUCUGUCGAAGAGCCCUGACAUGCAGGGAAGCCACCAGCUGCUCGUCGUAUCAGAGGAGCAGUUCAAGGUGUUCACGCUGCCCAAGGUGAGUGCCAAGCUGAAGUUGAAGCUGACGGCCCUGGAGGGCUCAAGAGUGCGUCGGGUCAGCGUGGCCCACUUCGGCAGUCGUCGAGCCGAGGACUACGGGGAGCACCACCUGGCAGUCCUUACCAACCUGGGCGACAUCCAGGUGGUCUCGCUGCCCCUGCUCAAGCCCCAGGUGCGCUACAGCUGCAUCCGCCGGGAGGACGUCAGUGGCAUCGCCUCC
RNAcentral lists this small RNA (766 nucleotides) under Pan troglodytes (chimpanzee). Its description in RNAcentral is "retained intron". The record is from RNAcentral. Lineage: Eukaryota; Metazoa; Chordata; Mammalia; Primates; Hominidae.